GUCGACUGGGCCUCCGCUGGGACCCAGGCGUGCGACCGGCUCUGCCUCCUCCGCAGUUCUGCCUCAGGACCUUUGCAUUUGCCAUCUCCUCUGUCAGCUUCAGUUCCCGAUGCCGAAAUGGAUCUCCAUCACCUUCAUAUUGAAGCUCAACUGUAACAUCAGCAAGGCUUCCUGCAAUCCCCUACUUUACUAGUUCAGCACCUCCCACCACCACACCCCCUGGAAAAAUUUCCCCUCACUUCCUUAAUUUCUUCCAUAGCACAACUCAUCAGCAUCUGAAAUUCUACACGUAUUUAUGGUUUAUCCCCUCCGAGUAGAAUGUGAGCUCAUUGAGGUCAGGGAAUUCUGUUUUCUUCAUGAUAUCCUCAGCACCUAGCAUAUAUUUGAGGUUCACAUACUGACCAAACGAAUAAAGGAAUAUGUUAAUUUUUAAAAAAAGUUGAGUUAUUCUUCCACCUUCAUCCCCAUAGCCCCUUAUCUCAGUUCAGACCUCAUCCCUUCUCCAGGAUCACUGAGGCAGCCUUCUCACUGUCCUCCCAGCCUCCUGUGUCUCCCUACUAUC
This 562-nucleotide long non-coding RNA is filed under the name Homo sapiens (human). Its description in RNAcentral is "HSALNT0148465". The record is from RNAcentral. Lineage: Eukaryota; Metazoa; Chordata; Mammalia; Primates; Hominidae.